CCAGCCCAACGGACCGUCCUGGAGCGAUACGAUGCACCCCGUCACCAAAUAACUUUGUACUCCUAAAUGAAUAACAAGGUUCAUUCACGCCUGAUAUGAUGAUGUACCAAUGGAUGCAUAUGAUACCUUCAAUGAUUCCCAGGACCUUUGACCAGCUAUCCUAACAUUACACCAACAUAUCAUGCAUAAACGUAGAAGAUUGUCUAGACCUCCCUUCGUCUGUUUUCAUCUUGUAGGUUUCAGCCAAGUUGUGUGUUCUUUGGUGGCUUAAGAUGCAGUGAAGCCCCUCUCCUAGAGAUGCUGGCAUCACUGGUUGGGCCAGGCUUUAUUGACGAUUCCCAAAUACUCCAGAGAAGGUGGAAAAGGCUGAAUUCUGCUCGCCAUCACAAAGGUCAAUCACCAAGGCUCCAAUGAGAAACUACUAUGUAACUGAAGAACAGUUGGUUCCAUGGCAACUCUACUCCAGAUAAUUGAGAAUCUAAGGGAGAUAACUGAAGAAAAACAAAUGGUCUUUGAGUACCUGACAGUUCUGAUAUACAUUUGACCACUUACCCCUGAAGUCAAUGCUAUUACAGUAUUCCCAGAAAGUCAUUGCCAUCAUGCUAAACAGCAGUAGGCACUACAAAUUGCUGGACAAUAUAAAUCAAAUAGAAUAUUGAAAAAGUGCUUUCAAGUUACUCCCACUUCCACGCACUGAACUGCGCCCCCGCCCCCGCAAACAGUUCCAUGGAUGACAUAACAUUCUACUUCAGAAAGGCUAGAAGGUUAUUUCAAGAAUGACUUUUCUGUAUCAUCCCAGCAUCUCCUCCACACGCUUGCUCAAAUUCACAGUCAUCAAUUCGUAAAACUAA
This is a long non-coding RNA of Stegostoma tigrinum, 851 nucleotides long. RefSeq lists it as uncharacterized. The record is from RefSeq and is a predicted model, not a curated record. Lineage: Eukaryota; Metazoa; Chordata; Chondrichthyes; Orectolobiformes; Stegostomatidae. The transcript has 4 exons.